AUAGCUUCAUCCAUACCUGGGUGAUCUGUAUCCAUGAUCACAUGGAAAGUGAAAACCCCAGCGAGAAGAAAUUUUGCGAACUGAGAUGAGUUUCAUUUCUUUCCAAUGGUACAUCAUGUUUUCUAUUUCAUGGUCAGAAAGCAUGUAAAAGAAUGAAGUGAUGAAUGCUGUCUGGACACAACAGAAGACCAAAAUAGCAAGCUGGUAUAUUAAAUAACGUGGAGGACAGUCACAGGUUUGUCCCCUCAUCUGUCACUAGGCCUUUUGAUCAGGCUGUGAAUAGUAAGUCAGCAUGACGUAAUGCUGCUGGUUAUUAUGCACAGAUCUAAUGACUGCCUCUACUCUGCCCAAUUACAGCAUUCUCAGAAGCGCCCUUAAAACAAAAUCUUCUGACCAUUCAGAUUAUACAAAGCUUAGCGGUACCCCCAGCACACCUUGAAAAUACUACCUUUUAGCUAAGGAUUCCCUGCAAGUACCAGGUUCUCAGUGUGCCCUCACAUAUGCCCCCUCUGUGAACCACAUCUUUUCACCUCCAUUAUGCAUGGCUUCAUUCUGUUGCAUGGAAUUCCCAGAGCAGCACAGCAUGACCAUCCAGCUUUUACACUGUACUCUAAAACACAACCCUGUAACCAAGAGAGAGAGGCAGGAUGCACAGCUCUCUUACACUGUAGUAUGUACCUUAUAUGUGAAAAACCUGACAUUAAGACAACAGAUCAAUUUGGCUUGUAUCAGAAAAAAGCUUUGAAUAGUGUAACUAACAUAAAACUCAGGGAGAGUUCAAAUAAGAUAUUUAAAAUAUUUCUUACACGUUUAUUCUGAGAGGGAACUAUGAAUGGGAAGAAUUGCUUUUUGCAAUGGUAUGACAAAACUAGGAAUUAUAUUCUGUUUUAUUAUGAACUUGUAACUCAGAAUUUAAAGGGAUAAUUAAAAAAAUAUAUAUUUAAAUUCUAUUUACAUUGUCAGUUGUAGCAUUUUUAUCAGCACAGAUUAGAAAACUGUAAAAUACAGAAACAUGCAGACCCUCUGUUUAAACUUAGUCACAGACUAUAGAGUAGGGCAUCAUUAGUUGACAUUUCAAUUGUGAAAGUUUCUCAUUCCCUGAAUGCUUAGGCAAAUGAGGAAUUUAAGCCUUAUGUUUUUAAUGGCUACAAUUUCCAACAGCUGUUUCAGAUUGACAAAAGAAAUUCAUAAUGGUCAUUAUUUGUUCUUUUGGGAAGUUUCUUUGGCCGUUUAUAACGACUUAAUUUUUUUUCUGCUACUCAUCAGUGCUGAUGGCUACACUUCCAGUAAGGUAUAGCAAAUGAGGUUGUUGCUUGUGUUCUAUGACCUGUAAAGACCCUAACCUUUGUCACCAUCUGUAUUUUUUUUUUACCAUCUUCCCCAUUCAUAAAUUACCACCAUCUAUCUGUACUAAUUAUUAAUAUCAGUUGUGUUUGAAUAUGGUUUGUUUUUUUUUUUCCCUGGGUUGGAGGCGUAUUCAUUCAGUGCCUUCUGUAACUCUUUCUUCCUUUGGGUAUGCAUAUGUUUUAUAUACUGUCUGAAAUAUAUCUCAAUUGUAUAAGUGAACAAUUCCCAAAUGAUACAGGCUCUUUUUUUUCUUCUCUUACAAACCUUUCUUAUUAAACUUCUACAAGAACAAACUGAAAGAAGGAAAAUUACUUUUUAAACGUAUCACUUUUAACUUUUAGACAUCUUGCAGAACACAUGGAAUUUUUCCUUCAAAGUCUUCUUCUAAUACACUGUGAUAGAGAGUUAAAAGUGAGAAGACAGCCUAUAUGAGACCACCAAAUUAGAUAAAAUUUGUGAGCAAUGAAAAAAUAACUGGCAGGCAUCUUUUAUGGCUUUCUACCUUUUCUAGACCUUUAAUUAAAUUACUGAUAGAAACCAAGAAAUUAUACCAUUCUUAUUAUAGCAAAAGUUUUUAACAUAUGCUUAAUCAGACAAAUAUUUUCCUUGAUAUUUAGAAAGUUACUUGUGUAUUCAAGAACUGCUUUUGGACUUUAGUCUGGCAAAGGCUUCUGGGGAUGUGGUUGCCCAUGAAUGCAUCAAAUUUAAAUCAUGCUGCAUGGAUUCCAGGAUACCAAGGCUAAUAUCUGCAAGCCCAGUAUCUCCCAAAUGCAUAAAAACACUUAUGGUAUAUACAUCAUGGAUUAGAAAUUCCUUGCUGAUAUGUGUCUCCAGGUUCAUUCCUGUACUGUUUCAGGAAUCAUUCUGGAAUAGCAGCACAAAAUAUUGCUAUCCUGAUAGAUCCCAUAUUGUUGAUACAUUCAGGUAAUAUAAAGAGAGCUGCUUUAUUUUUUGAUUUGUUUUAAUUUGUAAGAAGAUAAAGCUGAAAUGUUGACUUUACCUUUAACAAUAUCUAAUUGGUAGCAGUUCCUAUGCAGAAAUUCUUUGCUUUUAAUGGUUUGAGAUACACUACAUUUCUCUUAUAAAAUAUUCUGUGAAAAGAUGAGAUGACAUUUUUAGUCAUUUCUUUUAAAAUUCCUUAUCUUUUUGAUGAUGCAGUUAUUUACUUUUUUUCUUUUAAACUUCCUUUUUCCCAACUUUGAUUAUUCUUUGCAGCAGUACAUUCUUGUAACCAUUAUUUUGAUAAAUUUCAAUGGAAAUCUUUCCACAAGGACAGUGUAGUCCUCUAAGAUGAACAGUAUUUUCAUCUGAUUAAUUUUCAUAUUUUUAAAAGCUAGUCCUCUUCAGCACCCACUAAAAAUUAUAAAACUAUCCCUCUGGAAAAACAGCGAAAACUCUCAGGAGAGCACAAAUCAGCAACAAACUGAAACACAAAAAGUACACUGAUAGCUUUCAAUCUUCACAGUCUAUACUAGAGGACUAGUAGGCCUCUACACAACUUAGACUUGGGUACUGUAAAGACCCUUAGAAGUGCUUUUUAUCCUCUAGUUGAAAAAUACAGAUGGGAGCUCAGAUAAGAGUCAUCUUGAUGAGACUCGUAAGAUUCUUGUUUCCCUAUAAAGGAGUUAUAAAAAAAAAAAAAAAAAAGACAUUUUUUUCUAUAAUGACCCUAUCCUGCCCAUACCCCCUCCAGGAACUGCAUACCAAAUUAAUAGCCAGUUUAAGAAUAACAUCCAAUCCAACCACCAUACUUUAAAAGUAAUAUUUUAAAGAGAAUUUCCUUUCACUUUGAAAACUGCAGCUUAUCAGUCAUCUGUUUUGUCUCAGCGGAAACCUAAAAUGAGAGCAUUCCUAUAACCUUGAAAAUCCUCAUGAAAUAACAAAAAAAAAAAAAAAAAAAAAGUGCUUAAAAGUGCUUAUUCCACCUACCUGAGAAAAUAAAUCCUUCACACAUCUAAAACUUGAAUUAAUAUGUAUGGAAAAUUUUUGAAAACUUCAUGGCAAGGCCUGAUGUGUGCCUUUAUUUAUAUGACAGAAAAUGAGAGUUCACAGAAAGCCUUACAAUGGGACAGUACCAAUAUUUAUCACUCAGAGUUUUUAUGUGGAAAUUCAAGGUGAACUUGCUUCUCAUCUUACCAGGAUGACUGUUAUUGGGUUUGUAUAUUUCACAUGGUACACUGGAUGUGUGUAAUAUAAGUUACAACACAGAAAAAAGUAGUUACAGACAUUGUUAUAGGUUUCUUAUGCAUGCCUAAAGGAACUCUGUAAGGUUUUGUGUACUGCUUUUUAACAAUAUAGGGUUUAAAAAAAAAAAAAAAACCAAAAAAACAACACAGGCACAAGCUCCUUAUUUCAUUUUCUCCACCCACAAGACAAAACUGUUUGCACCUAUAAACUAACAAACGAUUAGUCAAAGUGGCGAGGAACAGAACAUGAACUAGAAAUGCAAAGUUGAGCAAUGAAGGAAUCAGGAGACAACAGAAAAGUGCAGGAAACAUGGAAAGACAGGAGCAGUCUGAUAGAUUGGGCCUUGAAAUAUUACUUCAGUCAUCUUUUCUUUUUCUAAGUUAGACAAUGACAUAUGAUAGUUUUCUUGACAAAAAAGAGAACUAGAACAAUACCUAGACAUGGUUGUUAUAAGCACACAAUCAGGUCUGGACAAAGAUCAACAAAAUACAUCGCUGUUUCACUGCUGGCAGGAGGAUUGCUACUCAGCAGGAUACUCAGAGCAUCUGACUUAGUGAGAUAAUUUAGUUCUGACUGGGACGCUCUGAACUGCCCUCUGAAGGAUUGUAUACUCCUCCACUGACUACAUAAGGAGCCCAAGGAAACAAUCUUUAAAAAUCUAAUAAGAAAGCUGGACAAUAGAAAAAAUAAGCUACAAUUUUUUGGAAACACUGCACCCCACAACACCUUCAGAGGUUCCGCUCUUCUCUUUCUUCCUCCACUGCAGCAGGUAGGCUGUUAUUUUUCACAGCACAGCAACUGCUUCUUGAUUCAGUAGCAUUUUACCAGCUAGCACAUGCAAAGGAUACAUCCAGUCUACUUUUUUCACCAAGUUUGUGGGGCAAGUAUAGUAGUUAUUCAGGAUCUCAUAAUAAAACUUGUGUAUGACUAUCCGGUGCAAGACAAUAUAAUGCAGACUACAUAAUGGAAGCAGAAAGUUGUUUUUUUUUUAAAAUGGUGUUUAGCUUCAUUUCUUUUAGAAAUUUGUCAUCAUUGUUGUUGACGCGAUUUUCUGUUUAUUUUCUUUUUUCAGAAUGUGAUUAAAAUGAACAAUCCUUUUACACAGAUGAUCAGUGUCUUAUGCAUAUAUUGAAAUUUUAAAAAAUUACAAAAUUUGACUCAUAGAAAAUGCAGAGGUAGGGAAAUUCAAAUGUUGAGAUGUUCAUUAAAUUAAGAUAUUGUAAAACACUCUAAACGUACUCACACAUACUCAAAAAGAUCUUAGGGUGACAUCACAUUUAAAUAAAGUCCAGCUAUGAGAAUGUUUUUAAGAUACAAAAUUUUUCCUCAAUGAAAACAAUGAAAAACUGCUGGAACAUCUGGAAAUGCUCAGAAAUGUUUGUCAUACUUUAUAUACUCUUCUUUGAGCCUUCAGAACCCUGAAAAUAUGUAUUCAUUGUCACUUGAAAUUUUCAGAAGUCUGUCUUAUAUUUCAUAAGUACAGUAGCCCUCAGGUAUAACCCUCAUCUUAUAAGGAAGAGAGAACCACAAAGGAGAGUUUUACAAUCUCCAGGUAAUUUAUAGAUUUCAGUGAUAUCAGACAUGUAAAUCCCUAUAUCUGGUAUAUAGGCAAUUUAUCUGUGCUGUCAGAAAAGUAUAGUUAUACAGGUUUCUCAAGCCUAGGAUCACAUGUGAAGUGAUGUUACACAUCUCCAAAACUGCUAACCUCAAUUUAUCCCUUAGAAAUUUUUAUUUAAAAAAAAAAAAAAAAAG
This is a non-coding RNA of Coturnix japonica (Japanese quail), 5286 nucleotides long. The record is from RefSeq and is a predicted model, not a curated record. Lineage: Eukaryota; Metazoa; Chordata; Aves; Galliformes; Phasianidae.